UCAAAAGAGGUCUCUGAAAUUUUAGAGGGUUGUGGUAUAUGAAUCAUUGCUGGAUGAGGAAAGGAGUGGGGGAGGAUCUGCAGUUUCAUGCAGCAUUGUACGAUGGAUUUAUAUGGCUGCCUGACUAGGAUGCUGGUGCCUGCAUACGAGCUGAUGUUCGGGAAGCCAUCCCUC
Triticum dicoccoides is the source of this 174-nucleotide long non-coding RNA. RefSeq lists it as uncharacterized. The transcript has 3 exons. The record is from RefSeq and is a predicted model, not a curated record. Lineage: Eukaryota; Viridiplantae; Streptophyta; Magnoliopsida; Poales; Poaceae.